RNAcentral lists this long non-coding RNA (12658 nucleotides) under Sorghum bicolor (sorghum). Its description in RNAcentral is "long non-coding RNA (SBIC_LNC007879)". The record is from RNAcentral. Lineage: Eukaryota; Viridiplantae; Streptophyta; Magnoliopsida; Poales; Poaceae.
UUUGCGUGACCAAGUCUUCUGUAUUAAAUUGAUUUGAGGAUACAUACCAUCAAUUAUUUGCCAUGCUAGCAUAGAUGUAAUACAUUGUGCCACACAUUUGCAGUACAUAUAUAUUACAUAAUGCGAACAAAAAUACAGUUCUCUAUCUUGAAUCGAGAAAUCGAUGAAUUAACAAACAAGCUAGUGGCGGAUGCCGAUGGAGGUCGACGGUUUUGGGACGCAACAACAAGAGGAGACCCCACCAACAACCUUGCAUAUCCCAACAGCAUUCAACCCCAAGACGGCGCACGUCGCCCCACAUGACUGUUCGUUGCAGUUGUCAGAGUUUGAGCACUGCUCUCCUCCUAAGAGGGCACGACUGCCUUGGCUUGCUAGAACGGCCGAGGCAAGGAGUGCCAUCAGCAGCGGAACAAUAACAAUGGCGAGGGUCUUCUUGGAACACGCCAUGAAGCUCUAGUAUAGGCUUCCGUAAGUAGAGGCUAGUUGGUUGUAACACCCUAAAAUUUGUCUUUUCGAAAUAAAGCUAAAUUAAUUUAAUUUUUGUAUGGUUGUGCUCAUGAAACAUAGUAAAAUAAUAUUUGUCAUUAAAAUAAAACUUAUCAUAGAGUUUAGUAACAUGUAUGUGCACUCAUGCUAGAUCAUUUAUAUUUUUGUACUGUGUGAUUUUGAUCAAAGUUAAAAUAUUUUCAAAUUGGUUUUACAAAUGGAUUUGAAAUAGUUUUUGAAUUAAAUAAAAAAAAAACUUCCUCCUCGUCCCAGUCUCGGCCCAACUCCACGGCCCAGGCCGCACCGCAGCGCCUCGCUUUCCCCUCUCUCUCUCUUUUCGCUGGCAGCCGGGUCCCGUUUUUCCCUGUCACUGACUCUCCGGGCCCGCACGUCAGCGACACCCUCUCUCUUUCCCCUUUCUUCCUCGCGUGGUCGAGCUGGACUCGAGCUCAGGCCAUGGUUUCCUUCCCGAUUUCUACGGGAUUUGCCGUGGGAAAGAUCCUUUGCUCCUAUAAGUCCCAGGCGCCUUCCCCCGCGCCCCUUUAUUUCCCCUUCGAGCCGCCACCCUGUCCUAGCACCGCCCGGUGGCCGCCGUUUGGAUCUUCAGAGACGGAACACACCCGCCGCCGUGGUCCGCGUCCCGUGGUGCUCAAAGGUUACUUGCAACCACGUGCCAGGCUUUGCAUCGUUCCUGCGAAGCUGCAGAGCCCUCCGCUUUGCUCUCUACCGGCCGUUACGGAGUCCCAAUCGCCGCCGAACUUGAGCAGGGCUCCGUCGUCCGCCCCAUCUCGACGCCGGGCCACCCCGAGCCCCCUCUGCCCGUAACAAUCGCCAAGGUGAGAUCCCCUUGUCUCCCUCUUGCUCCCCAUGCCUUCGGUUUUGUUUUUGGUGGACCGUAGCGCUUAAUCCGAUGAACUCCGGCGGGCUUUGCUCUACUCCGGCCAUGGCGCCGCCGUCUGGAACCGCCGCCGGCCGGCCAGGUCACCCCAACUCUCUCACAGCCGUCCAUUCACCGAUCAACGUCCAGGAUUAGAACUUACCCCUUCGGGGUGAACUUUGCUAAAGAGGCCCUGCCUUUUUCAAAUAUAGAACCCGCCGUCCUUUACGCAUUCAUAAGAAUACGCCUUACUGAUUUGAAAACGUAAAAUCGAUUACUCAGAGUUGAAAUACGUUUUCAGUAUUUACAGUUUUGCCACCAAAAUUAAAUUGCUUAUAACAUGCUAAUUUUAAUUCCGUUUUUGUCCAUUCAAAUUGCGUUAGGUUCGUAUUUACGAGCUCUACAUGUUAAAAAUAUUAUCUCACUGUUUUGAAACUUUUUAAAUUCGUGGUACUAUUUAAUUAAUUGUUUUUCUAUAUAAAAUCUUAGAAAAUUCAUAUCUUCUCCGUUUUAAAUCCGAUUUUCGUGAUCUUUACGUCUGUGAGAUCGUAGCGAUGCGUAGAAUCAUUUUAUAAACUUUUCAUACUGUUUUCAUAUGAUUGGUGUACUGUUCUAAUUGUAGUCUUGUUUGCUUCGUGUAUGUUUUCUUCGAUUGUUUGUGUGAUCGAUGAUCGAGUUUAGACGGAGAGCAGUUUCGGUGAUCAAGAUCAAAGCUUUGGCAACAAGUGAGACCAGCAGAACCAAAAGGAUAAGCAAGAGCAUUUGGAUUAAGGCAAGUAUAGCAUUUGAAUUUUAUUUCUGUGACCAUGAUCUUGUGACUUGAUUAAUGUUUAAGCAACAAAUGAUAGAAAUGACUUUUUAGCCACUUGAUGAUUUAUCUGUAAGUGAUAACCGGGACAACAGUGCAACCAUGAGGGCUAUAAUGGCUCUGGCUUUAGUUAAGUAUGAGUAACUUUUCUAGCUCGUUAGCGGUUACCCGUUGUGGCGCAAUUGGGGAAUAGCAGACCGUGGAUUCCUGCGGGUGAAUCACACGGACUGACUAAUGAAACCAAGCGGCCCUAACUUGUUAGACGAACCUUUGAAAGACUUCAUAGUGAUCCCUGCCGACCUCUCUUGGAAGGGGGUUAAGAGAUUAGCUACCUCGGGCGAAAGGGUAAAUCAUGACUCAUGGGUAAAGAUGUGCAACCUCUGCAGAGGGUUAUAAACUAGUAUACUAGCCGAGCUCACGGUCAGGAGCGGCCUUGGGGAUUCUUGCUGCGACGAUGAUGAUUCCUGUGUGUUAAAUAUGCUCAUUAUUUAUUAUUUAAUGCUUUACAUUAUUUAUGUCACAUUGAUCAUGAGAUUGUGGGAGCUAUACAAUCUAGUUGCUAUACUUGUGGAGUUCGACAUGGACUCACUCUUGCUAUUUCCCCCAAACCUGAGGAGAAGUUUAGGCUUGUGAUCAACCAGUCAGUUGGAUCCUGUAGAGUGGAGUUAAUACCCGAAGUUGAAGUUAUCUUCCGUUGUUUGCUGCUUAAGGUUAUCUCUAAUUUAUAAUGUACGUUAUAUAUUUAUGCAUUGUCUUUUGAUAUUACCCCUUAUUUGUAGCUAUAUAUGAGAAUUGACUUCUAAAACUCAUAUAUAGUGUAUAUCUGGUUUUGUCCUUAAAAUCGGGUAUUACAUUGGUCCCUUGUUGAUGCUCAGAUGCUUUGUGAUUGUUCGCUUGUAGGGAAUUGGGUGCCGCUAUGCUUGUCGUCCUUUUCUUAUAUAGGCUUGAGCCAUAACCAAAUUAAUUUGAGCAAUCAAUUUCUAACAUUUUUUUCCAUAAAAAAUAUCAUACCUUGAUAUUUUUACUCAUAGCACCAAUAUCCUCUAAUAUAUUUUGCCCACUCAAUAUUUAUAAUAUUGGUAGCUAUUUAAAUAAUAUAUUCUCAAAUUCACAUUUUUCUUCAUAAGUAAGCAUAAGCUGCCUAAUAAUAUCGUAUCUAUUUUGAUCCAUGCCAAUCAAAUUUGUAAUGAUAUAGAUUCACUCGAUAACAAUAUACCAUGCAUAGGCACUUAUUUGCUGCUAAUACAUCAUAUCAAAUUUUAUUAUUGAUAAUAUUAUAUUGAUCGUAAUUAACAGCAUUUUAACACGAUUUAAGGGUCUGGUUGGAUGCAACCAGAUAGUAGUUAUUAGUUGCUAAAAAUUAGUUGUGGUGGAUCCAAAUUGACCAGGGUAUUUGGUUAGCUAACUUUUAGAUGGACACCAAGCUAAGAACUAUCCUGUUACGUAAGCACACCACACUAGCUAAUAGCAUCUAAUUAAUGGUCAGUUGAGUAAAAGUCCGUCCCCCUAGAUCUUGGAGGUGGUUGAGGAGUUUUUACCUCAGAUGAAUUUGUAGAAGGAAAGAUUAAUUUUGAUGUGUUUGAUCUUCUCGACAGGUUCAACUGAUCCACUCUAAAGCACACUAGAGCAUGCUAUAGAUUAGUCGCAACUUGAGCCUAUGCCUGCUUCUCCAGCAACAUGGAAAUCUUGUCAAGAAGAUCAUCGACCAAAGGCUUCAUGCACAUAGGAUUGAUUGUAUCAGUCGAACCAUAUUGCUUAUCGUCGGCCAUAGUAGUCCAUACGUUUGCAUUCUUCCCUAGCAAAGUUGAUGAAAGGUGUGUCGAUGUGAAUUCCGGUCACACUAGCAUGAGCUUGAUCAUCCGGGCUGCACUUGUCCAAGACACGCAAUGGAAAUGGAUCUAAAUUGUGAUGCCAUCUAGCUUUUUGGAGAGGCCGAUUCAAUGCUAGUUCUUUGCCAAAAAGACCCACGAAUCCUGCCUAGGAUGACCAUCUACAAAUUGAACAACGGGGGUGCCAUAAAAUCGUCAUGGCCACCUAGGAUGUCGUCAGAUCUCAUAGGGACAUGCCCUAGACAUCAAGGAGUCUGGGAGAGGUUUAGGUAAAAAAAGGUAAAAAGUUUAAUAGAUUACUUUUGUCGAUUGGAUAGAUGUCUCAAUCGCCCGUGAUACCCUUAGUAGGAAACAUAUUCUACACACAGUUUUCCCAUUUGCUAGUAGAUUAACGAAGGAUUUUCCAACACGGAAACCUUGAGUUGUCACUGGGAUAUGCUGCAAAGUUGUAUGUCCUAGAGGUUAUGAUUAACUGUGAGGUUUUGGUCUCAUCAUAACUAUUACAAAAUAGAUCAACAUCUACAUCUAUAUGUGCCAACUAUCGCAUUGUCACUCGAUCUAGAGCCCUCUGUAGGAGCUGCAUCUCCUUAUAUCACAUUUCUAGCACCCCAACUAUCAUGGAGGUGAUACUUGUGGCCUCUCUAGCUGUACAAGCGGUGCCAAAAAUAGCAAUAUGUGCACACUGGUUAGGAGGAUUGGAAAAUGUUAGGCCACCAAGCCCAUCCACCGUACAUCACACUCUAAUAGGAAGCACAACAUAUCCAAAUGCUUGUCACCAAUCUUUGGGAAUUGAGUUGAAAAGGUUAAAACAAGGCAGGAUGAGAAUUCAUCAAGCAUAUGAUCAUAAUGUUAAGUUUUGCGUGACCAAGUCUUCUAUAUUAAAUUGAUUUGAGGAUACAUACCAUCAAUUAUUUGCCAUGCUAUCAUAGAUGUAAUACAUUGUGCCACACAUUUGCAGUACAUAUAUAUUACAUAUUGCGAACAAAAAUACAGUGCUCUAUCUUGAAUCGAGAAAUCGAUGAAUUAACGAACAAGCUAGUGGCGGAUGCCGAUGGAGGUCGACGGUUUUGGGACGCAACAACAAGAGGAGACCCCACCAACAACCUUGCAUAUCCCAACAGCAUUCAACCCCAAGACGGCGCACGUCGCCCCACAUGACUGUUCGUUGCAGUUGUCAGAGUUUGAGCACUGCUCUCCUCCUAAGAGGGCACGACUGCCUUGGCUUGCUAGAACGGCCGAGGCAAGGAGUGCCAUCAGCAGCGGAACAAUAACAAUGGCGAGGGUCUUCUUGGAACACGCCAUGAAGCUCUAGUAUAGGCUUCCGUAAGUAGAGGCUAGUUGGUCCCUGUUGAUGCUCAGAUGCUUUGUGAUUGUUCGCUUGUAGGGAAUUGAGUGCCGCUAUGCUUGUCGUCCUUUUCUUAUAUAGGCUUGAGCCAUAACCAAAUUAAUUUGAGCAAUCAAUUUCUAACAUUUUUUUCCAUAAAAAAUAUCAUACCUUGAUAUUUUUACUCAUAGCACCAAUAUCCUCUAAUAUAUUUUGCCCACUCAAUAUUUAUAAUAUUGGUAGCUAUUUAAAUAAUAUAUUCUCAAAUUCACAUUUUUCUUGCUAAGUAAGCAUAAGCUGCCUAAUAAUAUCCUAUCUAUUUUGAUCCAUGCCAAUCAAAUUUGUAAUGAUAUAGAGUCACUCGAAAACAAUAUACCAUGCAUAGGCACUUAUUUGCUGCUAAUACAUCAUAUCAAAUUUUAUUAUUGAUAAUAUUAUAUUGAUCGUAAUUAACAGCAUUUUAACACGAUUUUAGGGUCUGGUUGGAUGCAACCAGAUAGUAGUUAUUAGUUGCUAAAAAUUAGUUGUGGUGGAUCCAAAUUGACAAGGGUAUUUGGUUAGCUAACUUUUAGAUGGACACCAAGCUAAGAACUAUCCUGUUACGUAAGCACACCACACUAGCUAAUAGCAUCUAAUUAAUGGUCAGUUGAGUAAAAGUCCGUCCCCCCAGAUCUUGGAGGUGGUUGAGGAGUUUUUACCUCAGAUGAAUUUGUAGAAGGAAAGAUUAAUUUUGAUGUGUUUGAUCUUCUCGACAGGUUCAACUGAUCCACUCUAAAGCACACUAGAGCAUGCUAUAGAUUAGUCGCAACUUGAGCCUAUGCCUGCUUCUCCAGCAACAUGGAAAUCUUGUCAAGAAGAUCAUCGACCAAAGGCUUCAUGCACAUAGGAUUGAUUGGAUCAGUCGAACCAUAUUGCUUAUCGUCGGCCAUAGUAGUCCAUACGUUUGCAUUCUUCCCUAGCAAAGUUGAUGAAAGGUGUGUCGAUGUGAAUUCCGGUCACACUAGCAUGAGCUUGAUCAUCCGGGCUGCACUUGUCCAAGACACGCAAUGGAAAUGGAUCUAAAUUGUGAUGCCAUCUAGCUUUUUGGAGAGGCCGAUUCAAUGCUAGUUCUUUGCCAAAAAGACCCACGAAUCCUGCCUAGGGUGACCAUCUACAAAUUGAACAACGGGGGUGCCAUAAAAUCGUCAUGGCCACCUAGGAUGUCGUCAGAUCUCAUAGGGACAUGCCCUAGACAUCAAGGAGUCUGGGAGAGGUUUAGGUAAAAAAAGGUAAAAAGUUUAAUAGAUUACUUUUGUCGAUUGGAUAGAUGUCUCAAUCGCCCGUGAUACCCUUAGUAGGAAACAUAUUCUACACACACUUUUCCCAUUUGCUAGUAGAUUAACGAAGGAUUUUCCAACAAGGAAACCUUGAGUUGUCACUGGGAUAUGCUGCAAAGUUGUAUGUCCUAGAGGUUAUGAUUAACUGUGAGGUUUUGGUCUCAUCAUCCCUAUUACAAAAUAGAUCAACAUCUACAUCUAUAUGUGCCAACUAUCGCAUUGUCACUCGAUCUAGAGCCCUCUGUAGGAGCUGCAUCUCCUUAUAUCACAUUUCUAGCACCCUAACUAUCAUGGACGUGAUACUUGUGGCCUCUCUAGCUGUACUAGCGGUGCCAAAAAUAGCAAUAUGUGCACACUGGUUAGGAGGAUUGGAAAAUGUUGGGCCACCAAGCCCAUACACCGUACAUCACACUCUAAUAGGAAGCACAACAUAUCCAAAUGCUUGUCACCAAUUUUUGGGAAUUGAGUUGAAAAGGUUAAAACAAGGCAGGAUGAGAAUUCAUCAAGCAUGUCAUCAAAAUGUGAAGUUUUGCGUGACCAAGUCUUCUGUAUUAAAUUGAUUUGAGGAUACAUACCAUCAAUUAUUUGCCAUGCUAGCAUAGAUGUAAUACAUUGUGCCACACAUUUGCAGUACAUAUAUAUUACAUAUUGCGAACAAAAAUACAGUUCUCUAUCUUGAAUCGAGAAAUCGAUGAAUUAACAAACAAGCUAGUGGCGGAUGCUGAUGGAGGUCGACGGUUUUGGGACGCAACAACAAGAGGAGACCCCACCAACAACCUUGCAUAUCCCAACAGCAUUCAACCCCAAGACGGCGCACGUCGCCCCACAUGACUGUUCGUUGCAGUUGUCAGAGUUUGAGCACUGCUCUCCUCCUAAGAGGGCACGACUGCCUUGGCUUGCUAGAACGGCCGAGGCAAGGAGUGCCAUCAGCAGCGGACAAUAACAAUGGCGAGGGUCUUCUUGGAACACGCCAUGAAGCUCUAGUAUAGGCUUCCGUAAGUAGAGGCUAGUUGGUCCCUUGUUGAUGCUCAGAUGCUUUGUGAUUGUUCGCUUGUAGGGAAUUGAGUGCCGCUAUGCUUGUCGUCCUUUUCUUAUAUAGGCUUGAGCCAUAACCAAAUUAAUUUGAGCAAUCAAUUUCUAACAUUUUUUCCAUAAAAAAUAUCAUACCUUGAUAUUUUUACUCAUAGCACCAAUAUCCUCUAAUAUAUUUUGCCCACUCAAUAUUUAUAAUAUUGGUAGCUAUUUAAAUAAUAUAUUCUCAAAUUCACAUUUUUCUUGAUAAGUAAGCAUAAGUUGCCUAAUAAUAUCAUAUCUAUUUUCAUCCAUGGCAAUCAAAUUUGUAAUGAUAUUGAUUCACUCGAUAACAACAUGCCAUGCAUAGGCACUUAUUUGCUGCUAAUACGUCAUAUCAAAUUUCAUUAUUGAUAAUAUUAUAUUGAUCGCAAUUAACAGCAUUUUAACACGAUUUAAUGGUCUGGUUGGAUGCAACCAGAUAGUAGUUAUUAGUUGCUAAAAAUUAGUUGUGGUGGAUCCAAAUUGACCAGGGUAUUUGGUUAGCUAACUUUUAGAUGGACACCAAGCUAAGAACUAUCCUGUUACGUAAGCACACCACACUAGCUAAUAGCAUCUAAUUAAUGGUCAGUUGAGUAAAAGUCCAUCCCCCCAGAUCAUGGAGGUGGUUGAGGAGUUUUUACCUCAGAUGAAUUUGUAGAAGGAAAGAUUUAUUUUGAUGUGUUUGAUCUUCUCGACAGGUUCAGCUGAUCCACUCUAAAGCACACUAGAGCAUGCUAUAGAUUAGUCGCAACUUGAGCCUAUGCCUGCUUCUCCAGCAACAUGGAAAUCUUGUCAAGAAGAUCAUCGACCAAAGGCUUCAUGCACAUAGGAUUGAUUGGAUCAGUCGAACCAUAUUGCUUAUCGUCGGCCAUAGUAGUCCAUACGUUUGCAUUCUUCCCUAGCAAAGUUGAUGAAAGGUGUGUCGAUGUGAAUUCCGGUCACACUAGCAUGACCUUGAUCAUCCGGGCUGCACUUGUCCAAGACACGCAAUGGAAAUAGAUCUAAAUUGUGAGGCCAACUAGCUUUUUGGAGAGGCCGAUUCAAUGCUAGUUCUUUGCCAAAAAGACCCACGAAUCCUGCCUAGGAUGACCAUCUACAAAUUGAACAACUGGGGUGCCAUAAAAUCGUCAUGGCCACCUAGGAUGUCGUCAGAUCUCAUAGGGACAUGCCCUAGACAUCAAGGAGUCUGGGAGAGGUUUAGGUAAAAAAAGGUAAAAAGUUUAAUAGAUUACUUUUGUCGAUUGGAUAGAUGGAUAUCUCAAUCGCCCGUGAUACCCUUAGUAGGAAACAUAUUCUACACACAGUUUUCUCGUUUGCUAGUAGAUUAACGAAGGAUUUUCCAACAAGGAAACCCUGAGUUGUCACUGGCAUAUGCUGCAAAGUUGUAUGUCCUAGAGGUUAUGAUUAACUGUGAGGUUUUGGUCUCAUCAUCACUAUUACAAAAUAGAUCAACAUCUACAUCUGUAUGUGCCAACUAUCGCAUUGUCACUCGAUCUAGAGCCCUCUGUAGGAGCUGCAUCUCCUUAUAUCACAUUUCUAGCACCCUAACUAUCAUGGACGUGAUACUUGCGGCCUCUCUAGCUGUACUAGCGGUGCCAAAAAUAGCAAUAUGUGCACACUGGUUAGGAGGAUUGGAAAAUGUUGGGCCACCAAGCCCAUCCACGGUACAUCACACUCCAGUAGGAAGGACAACAUAUCCAAAUGCUUGUCACCAAUCUUUGGGAAUUGAGUUGAAAAGGUUAAAACAAGGCAGGAUGAGAAUUCAUCAAGCAUAUCAUCAUAAUGUGAAGUUUUGCGUGACCAAGUCUUCUGUAUUAAAUUGAUUUGAGGAUACAUUGUGCCACACAUUUGCAGUACAUAUAUAUUACAUAUUGCGAACAAAAAUAUAGUUCUCUAUCUUGAAUCGAGAAAUCGAUGAAUUAACGAACAUGCUAGUGGCGGAUGCCGAUGGAGGUCGACGGUUUUGGGACGCAACAACAAGAGGAGACCCCACCAACAACCUUGCAUAUCCCAACAGCAUUCAACCCCAAGACGGCGCACGUCGCCCCACAUGACUGUUCAUUGCAAUUGUCAGAGUUUGAGCACUGCUCUCCUCCUAAGAGGGCACGACUGCCUUGGCUUGCUAGAACGGCCGAGGCAAGUAGUGCCAUCAGCAGCGGAACAAUGACAAUGGCGAGGGUCUUCUUGGAACACGCCAUGGAGCUCUAGUAUAGGUUUCCGUAAGUAGAGGCUAGUUGGUCCCUUGUUAAUGCUCGGAUGCUUUGUGAUUGUUCGUUUAUAGGGAAUUGAGUGCCCCUAUGCUUGUCGUCCUUUUCUUAUAUAGGCUUGAGCCAUAACCAAAUUAAUUUGAGCAAUCAAUUUCUAAAAUUCUUUCCAUAAAAAUAUCAUACCUUGAUAUUUUUACUCAUAGCACCAAUAUCCUCUAAUAUAUUUUGCCCACUCAACAUUUAUAAUAUUAGUAGCUAUUUAAAUCAUGUAUCUUGAUAAGUAAGCAUAAGCUGCCUAAUAAUAUCAUAUCUAUUUUGAUCCAUGCCAAUUAAAUUUUCAUCAUAAUGUGAAGUUUUGCGUGACCAAGUCUUCUGUAUUAAAUUGAUUUAAGGAUACAUACCAUCAGUUAUUUGUCAUGCUAACAUGGAUGUAAUACAUUGUGCCACACAUUUGUCCGUUGCCGUACAUAUAUAUUACAUAUUGCUAACAAAAAUACAGUUUGAAACCAUGCCAAUCAAAUUUUUAAUGAUAUAGAUUCACUCCAUAGCAAUAUAUAUACCAUGCAUAGGCACUUAUUUGCUGCUAAUACAUCAUAUCAAUUUUCAUUACUGAUAAUAUUAUAUUGAUCGAAAUUAACAGCAUUUUAACACGAUUUAAGGGACUGCUUGGAUGCAACCAGAUAGUAGUUAUUAGUUGCUAAAAAAUUGUUCUGGUGGAUCCAAAUUGGCCCGGCUAUUAGGUUAGCUAACUAUUAGAUGGACACCAGAUAAUGAAGCAUAAGCUGCCUAAUAAUGUCAUAUCUAUUUUGAUCCUAGCCAAUCAAUUUUUUAACGAUAUAGACUCACUCCAUAGCAAUAAUAUAUCAUGCAUAUUAAUUUUCAUUAUUGAUAAUAUUAUAGUGUUUGUAAUUAACAACAUUUUAACAUGAUUUAUGGGUCUGGUUGUAUCCAACUAGAUAGUAGUUAUUAGUUGCUAAUAAUUAGUUGUGGUGGAUCCAAAUUGACCAAGCUAUUAGGUUAGCUAACUAUUAGAUGGACACCACGCCAAGAACUAUCUUGUUAGAUAAGCACAACACACUUGCUAAUAGCAUCUAAUUAAUGGUCAGUUCAGUAAAAGUCCCUCCCCCCAGAUCUUGGAGGUGGUUGAGGAGUUUUUACCUCAGAUGAAUUUCUAGAAGGAAAGAUUAAUUUUCAUGCAUUUGAACUCUGAAGCACACUAGAGCGUGCUACAGAUUAGUAGCAACUUUAGCCUAUGUCUGCUUCUCUAGCAACAUGCAAAUCUCAUCGAGAAGUUCAUCGACCGAAGGCUUCAUGACGCACACAGGAUUGAUUGGAUCAGUCGGACCAUAUUGCUUACCAUCGGCCAUAGUGUAGUCCAUACAUUUGCAUUCUUCCCUAGCAAAGUUGAUACAAGUUGUGUCAACGUGAAUUCCGGUCACAAGAGCAAGGGCUUGAUCAUUCGGGCUGCACUUAUCCAAGACAUGCAAUGGAAAUAAAUCUAAAUGGUGAUGCCAACUACCUUUUUGGAGAGGCUCAAUGCAAGUUCUUUGCUGAAAAGACCCACAAAUCCUGCCUAGGAUGACCAUCUACAAAUCAAAGAACGGGGUUACCAUAAAAUCGUCAUGGCCACCAAGGAUGUCAUCAGAUCUCAAAGGGAGAUGCCCUAGACAUCAAGGAGACUGGGAGAGGUUUAGGUACAAAAAAGUUAACAAGUUUAAUAAUUACUUUUUUCGAUUGGAUAGAUGGAUAUCUCAAUCACCCGUGAUACCCUUAGUAGGAAACAUAUUCUACACACAAUUUUCUCGUUUCCUUGUACAUUAACGAAGGAGUUUCCAACAAGGAAACCUUGAGUUGUCACUAGGAUAUGCUGCUAAAUUGUAUGUCCUAGACGUUAUGAUUAACUGUGAGGUUUUGGUCUAAUCAUCACUGUUACAAAUCAGAUCAACAUCUACAUUUAUAUGAGCCCUCUCUAGGAGCUGCAUCUCCUUAUAUCACAUUUCUAGCACCCUACUAUCAUGGAUGUGAUACUUGUGGCUUCUCUAGCUAUACGAGUCCAAAAAUAGCAAUAUGUGCACACUGGUUAGGAGGAUUGGAAAAUGUUAGGCCGGUAAGCCCAUCCACACUACAUCACACACCAAUAGGAAGGACAACAUAUCCAAAAGCUUGUUACCAAUCACUGGGAAUUGAGCUGAAAAGGUUAAAACAAGGCAGGACGAGAAUUCAUCAAGCAUAUCAUCAUAAUGUGAAGUUUUGCGUGACCAAGUUUUCUGUAUUAAACUGAUUUAAAGAUACAUACCAUCACUUAUUUGUCAUGCUAGCACGGAUGUAAUACAUUGUGCCACAUAUUUGUAUGUUGCAGUACAUAUAUAUUACAUAUUGCUAACAAAAAUGCAGUUUCUCUAUCUUGAAUCCAGAAGUCGAUGAAUUAUCGCACAAACUAGUAGCAGAUGCCGAUGGAGGUCGACAGUUAUGGGACGCAACAACAAGAGGAGACCCCACCAACAACCUUGCAUAUCCCAACAGCAUUCAUCCCCAAGACAGCGCACGUCACCCCACGUGACCGUUCGUUGCAAUGUCAGAUUUGGAGCACUGCUCUCCUCCUAAGAGGGCACGGCUGCCUUGGCUUGCUAGAACGGCCGAGGCAAGGGGUGCUAUCAGCAGCGGAACAACGAUGAUGGUGAGGGUCUUCUUGGAACACACCAUGAAGCUCUAGUAUAGGCUUGCGUAAGUAGAGGCUAGUUGGUCCCUUGUUGAUGCU